AAAAACUACUGCCUAAUAAGCCGAGAUUAUAUUUGUUUUCCUAAAUAUCUGGGUGGUUUGGGGCGGUGGACCAAUAUACCCUAAUAUUCUGAAUAUUUAUUUACUACAUAAAUGCUUGCCAGACUUGGUGUGUAAUAGAAUUGUUGCUCGAUUGGGUGGUUUCGUGGCAACUUCAGCUGGAUAGAUAAAUAGAUGUUUUGGUCGAGCGUGUGAAUGUGGUGACUGUCAAUUUAUUUUUUGUGAUCAUAUAUUUGUGUUACCCAAACAAUGGUAUUACAAUACGCACAACACAACUGGUCCAAUUUAUUCGGAGCUGAGUGGAGCCAAACAGUUGUUUGACCAUCUAUGCAUACAAACUUAUCCAUGUAAUCAGUACAUGUGUUCUGGCCUCUACUCUAACAUGUGUAAUACAAAAUUCUCUUUCAAACUUAAGAUGCACAAUAAUUAAUUAGGGAAACUAGACUGCUUAACAUUUUCACAACUCAAGACAAAUAUAAUGACUGUUAAACAUUGUUGUGUUAUUGGUUUUCUGAAAUAAAAAACACUUUUUCUAUUCUUCAGCUACCUGAAAAUAUGCCUUGUAUCAGUUGGUUUCUUUAUUUCCUUCUAGCCUGCACCAGGACACAUGAAAACACUUGGUUUUGUUUUAGUUGUUUUUUCUCCAGCCAGGUGAAGACGUAGAAAAUCAACUAGCUGGCUGGAGCAGCCCAAGGUCCGAGUACAAAAUGUCCGAUCGAUUAUCAAUAAAAUGUUUCUAAAAAAACAAGGUUAUUAAUAAAAUAAUAGAGAAGCAAUUCCCAUAUUUUUUUAAUAAAGAAGCAGAUCAUGCGCAUACGCUUGCAUGCAUGAAUGUGUGCGCACGUGCGUUGUGUCCGUUUGUGAUAGCAUUUUUAUUUUGUUGUUUGAACACAAAGUAUAAAAAAUAAGUAUAUAUAUGAAAGUUACACUACUAUUGCAUACUGUGGACCAGUGUAAGUUCUAUGCAUUUU
RNAcentral lists this long non-coding RNA (989 nucleotides) under Hordeum vulgare. Its description in RNAcentral is "long non-coding RNA (HVUL_LNC011223)". The record is from RNAcentral. Lineage: Eukaryota; Viridiplantae; Streptophyta; Magnoliopsida; Poales; Poaceae.